This 76-nucleotide transfer RNA is filed under the name Actinomycetes bacterium. Its description in RNAcentral is "Actinobacteria bacterium tRNA-Ala". It matches the Rfam family "tRNA". From Rfam's summary of the family: Transfer RNA (tRNA) molecules are approximately 80 nucleotides in length. Their secondary structure includes four short double-helical elements and three loops (D, anti-codon, and T loops). The record is from RNAcentral. Lineage: Bacteria; Bacillati; Actinomycetota; Actinomycetes. RNAcentral also lists the same sequence under 1 other name.
GGGGCCAUAGCUCAGCUGGGAGAGCGUCUGGCUGGCAGCCAGAAGGUCAGGGGUUCGAGCCCCCUUGGCUCCACCA